Long non-coding RNA from Dama dama (fallow deer), 325 nucleotides. RefSeq lists it as uncharacterized. The transcript is spliced from 3 exons. Lineage: Eukaryota; Metazoa; Chordata; Mammalia; Artiodactyla; Cervidae. The record is from RefSeq and is a predicted model, not a curated record.
GGAGGCGGUGGGCUCCUGGUCCAGCGAGGGGCCUUCGGCGGACGAGGUCCCACUGCAGGGACCUUUGAGUCCCAAGGGGGUCCUGAAACCAAAGCCUGAGGUUCCGGCUUCCAUGCAACUGGCCCCCACCCUGCCCAUUCUGGACAAAGCUGCGCCCCUGGCUGACACAAGCAGAAACGGAAGAACCACAGCUUGGGGGUCCACAGCACACCCUAGGGCACCUGCAGGAUUUGGCGCUGCUCUGGAGAGGCCCGCUGCAAACACUGAACCACCAGCCAGCUGCACUUGUUGUCCUGGAUGUCCGUGCCGAUCUUACCCGUCACGC